This 2413-nucleotide ribosomal RNA is filed under the name Listeria monocytogenes. RNAcentral describes it as "partial 23S ribosomal RNA". It matches the Rfam family "Bacterial large subunit ribosomal RNA", at positions 408 to 2819 of the family's 2925-position model. Lineage: Bacteria; Bacillati; Bacillota; Bacilli; Caryophanales; Listeriaceae. The record is from RNAcentral.
CUGAGUACGGCGGAACACGUGAAAUUCCGUCGGAAUCCGGGAGGACCAUCUCCCAAGGCUAAAUACUCCCUAGUGACCGAUAGUGAACCAGUACCGUGAGGGAAAGGUGAAAAGCACCCCGGAAGGGGAGUGAAACAGUUCCUGAAACCGUGUGCCUACAAGUAGUUAGAGCCCGUUAAUGGGUGAUAGCGUGCCUUUUGUAGAAUGAACCGGCGAGUUACGAUUUGUUGCAAGGUUAAGCGGAAAAAGCGGAGCCGUAGCGAAAGCGAGUCUGAAUAGGGCGCAUAAGUAACAGGUCGUAGACCCGAAACCAGGUGAUCUACCCAUGUCCAGGAUGAAGGUAAGGUAAUACUUACUGGAGGUCCGAACCCACGCACGUUGAAAAGUGCGGGGAUGAGGUGUGGGUAGCGGAGAAAUUCCAAUCGAACUUGGAGAUAGCUGGUUCUCUCCGAAAUAGCUUUAGGGCUAGCCUCGAGGUAAAGAGUCAUGGAGGUAGAGCACUGUUUGGACUAGGGGCCCUUCUCGGGUUACCGAAUUCAGAUAAACUCCGAAUGCCAUGUACUUAUACUCGGGAGUCAGACUGCGAGUGAUAAGAUCCGUAGUCGAAAGGGAAACAGCCCAGACCACCAGUUAAGGUCCCCAAAUAUAUGUUAAGUGGAAAAGGAUGUGGGGUUGCUUAGACAACCAGGAUGUUGGCUUAGAAGCAGCCACCAUUGAAAGAGUGCGUAAUAGCUCACUGGUCGAGUGACCCCGCGCCGAAAAUGUACCGGGGCUAAACAUAUUACCGAAACUGUGGAUGAACCUCUUUAGAGGUUCGUGGUAGGAGAGCGUUCUAAGGGCGGUGAAGUCAGACCGGAAGGACUGGUGGAGCGCUUAGAAGUGAGAAUGCCGGUAUGAGUAGCGAAAGAAGGGUGAGAAUCCCUUCCACCGAAUAUCUAAGGUUUCCUGAGGAAGGCUCGUCCGCUCAGGGUUAGUCGGGACCUAAGCCGAGGCCGAUAGGCGUAGGCGAUGGACAACAGGUAGAGAUUCCUGUACCAGUGCUAAUUGUUUAACCGAUGGGGUGACACAGAAGGAUAGGGAAUCGCACGAAUGGAAAUGUGCGUCCAAGCAGUGAGUGUGAGAAGUAGGCAAAUCCGCUUCUCGCGAAGCAUGAGCUGUGAUGGGGAAGGAAAUUAAGUACGGAAGUUCCUGAUUUCACGCUGUCAAGAAAAGCCUCUAGGAAGAGUAGUACUGCCCGUACCGCAAACCGACACAGGUAGAUGAGGAGAGAAUCCUAAGGUGAGCGAGAGAACUCUCGUUAAGGAACUCGGCAAAAUGACCCCGUAACUUCGGGAGAAGGGGUGCUCUAUUAGGGUGCAAGCCCGAGAGAGCCGCAGUGAAUAGGCCCAGGCGACUGUUUAGCAAAAACACAGGUCUCUGCAAAACCGUAAGGUGACGUAUAGGGGCUGACGCCUGCCCGGUGCUGGAAGGUUAAGAGGAGUGCUUAGCUUCGGCGAAGGUACGAAUUGAAGCCCCAGUAAACGGCGGCCGUAACUAUAACGGUCCUAAGGUAGCGAAAUUCCUUGUCGGGUAAGUUCCGACCCGCACGAAAGGCGCAACGAUCUGGGCACUGUCUCAACGAGAGACUCGGUGAAAUUAUAGUACCUGUGAAGAUGCAGGUUACCCGCGACAGGACGGAAAGACCCCGUGGAGCUUUACUGCAACCUGAUAUGGAAUGUUUGUACCGCUUGUACAGGAUAGGUAGGAGCCGAAGAGACGUGUGCGCUAGCAUACGAGGAGGCAAUGGUGGGAUACUACCCUGGCUGUAUGACCAUUCUAACCCGCCACGCUUAGCGCGUGGGGAGACAGUGUCAGGUGGGCAGUUUGACUGGGGCGGUCGCCUCCUAAAGAGUAACGGAGGCGCCCAAAGGUUCCCUCAGAAUGGAUGGAAAUCAUUCGCAGAGUGUAAAGGCACAAGGGAGCUUGACUGCGAGACUGACAAGUCGAGCAGGGACGAAAGUCGGGCUUAGUGAUCCGGUGGUUCCGCAUGGAAGGGCCAUCGCUCAACGGAUAAAAGCUACCCCGGGGAUAACAGGCUUAUCUCCCCCAAGAGUCCACAUCGACGGGGAGGUUUGGCACCUCGAUGUCGGCUCGUCGCAUCCUGGGGCUGUAGUCGGUCCCAAGGGUUGGGCUGUUCGCCCAUUAAAGCGGCACGCGAGCUGGGUUCAGAACGUCGUGAGACAGUUCGGUCCCUAUCCGUCGCGGGCGCAGGAAAUUUGAGAGGAGCUGUCCUUAGUACGAGAGGACCGGGAUGGACACACCGCUGGUGUACCAGUUGUUCCGCCAGGAGCAUCGCUGGGUAGCUAUGUGUGGCAGGGAUAAACGCUGAAAGCAUCUAAGCGUGAAGCCCCCCUCAAGAUGAGAUUUCCCAUUU